Molecule: transfer RNA, 81 nt
Filed under: Treponema sp.
Lineage: Bacteria; Pseudomonadati; Spirochaetota; Spirochaetia; Treponematales; Treponemataceae
Also listed under: 1 other name
Description: tRNA-Leu
Rfam family: tRNA
About the family: Transfer RNA (tRNA) molecules are approximately 80 nucleotides in length. Their secondary structure includes four short double-helical elements and three loops (D, anti-codon, and T loops). Further hydrogen bonds mediate the characteristic L-shaped molecular structure. tRNAs have two regions of fundamental functional importance: the anti-codon, which is responsible for specific mRNA codon recognition, and the 3' end, to which the tRNAs corresponding amino acid is attached (by aminoacyl-tRNA synthetases). tRNAs cope with the degeneracy of the genetic code in two manners: having more than one tRNA (with a specific anti-codon) for a particular amino acid; and 'wobble' base-pairing, i.e. permitting non-standard base-pairing at the 3rd anti-codon position.
Source: RNAcentral
GCGAGAGUGGUGAAAUUGGCAUACACGCCAGACUUAGGAUCUGGUGCCCUAGGCAUGAGGGUUCAAGUCCCUCCUCUCGCA